AGAGUUUGAUCAUGGCUCAGGACGAACGCUGGCGGCGUGCUUAACACAUGCAAGUCAAGGGGGCCCAGCAAUGGGCAACCGGCGAACGGGUGCGUAACACGUGAGCAACCUUCCGAAAUAUGGGGGAUAGCCGGCCUAACGGCCGAGUAAUACCGCAUACGCUCUCGAUGAGGCAUUUCAUUGAGAGGAAACCUCCGGGGUAUUUCGAGGGGCUCGCGGCCUAUCAGCUAGUUGGCGAGGUAACGGCUCACCAAGGCAACGACGGGUAGCUGGUCUGAGAGGAUGGCCAGCCACAUUGGGACUGAGAUACGGCCCAGACUCCUACGGGAGGCAGCAGUGGGGAAUCUUGCGCAAUGGCCUAACGGCUGACGCAGCGACGCCGCGUGUGGGAUGAAGCUCUUCGGAGUGUAAACCACUGUUGCCCGGGACGAAUAGCUCGAUUAAUCGAGCCUGACAGUACCGGGUGAGGAAGCACCGGCUAACUCCGUGCCAGCAGCCGCGGUAAUACGGGGGGUGCGAGCGUUGUCCGGAAUCACUGGGCGUAAAGGGCGCGUAGGUGGUUUGAUAAGGGUGUGGUGAAAGUCCGGGGCUCAACCCCGGAUCUGCCGUGCCGACUGUCAAACUCGAGGACUGUAGAGGCAGACGGAAUUCCGGGUGUAGCGGUGGAAUGCGUAGAGAUCCGGAGGAAGACCGGUGGCGAAGGCGGUCUGCUGGGCAGUUUCUGACACUGAGGCGCGACAGCGUGGGGAGCAAACAGGAUUAGAUACCCUGGUAGUCCACGCCGUAAACGAUGGGUACUAGGUGCCUGGGGGAGCGACCCUCUGGGUGCCGGCGCUAACGCAGGAAGUACCCCGCCUGGGGAGUACGACCGCAAGGUUGAAACUUAAAGGAAUUGACGG
This 899-nucleotide ribosomal RNA is filed under the name uncultured bacterium. RNAcentral describes it as "bacterial SSU rRNA". It matches the Rfam family "Bacterial small subunit ribosomal RNA", at positions 8 to 916 of the family's 1533-position model. The record is from RNAcentral.